This 72-nucleotide transfer RNA is filed under the name Acanthoscelides obtectus. It matches the Rfam family "tRNA". Rfam says of the family: Transfer RNA (tRNA) molecules are approximately 80 nucleotides in length. Lineage: Eukaryota; Metazoa; Arthropoda; Insecta; Coleoptera; Chrysomelidae. The record is from Rfam by way of RNAcentral.
GCCACUGUAGCUCACUGGCAGAGCAUUGGUCUUGUAAACUAGGGGUUGUGAGUUCAAUUCUCACAAGAGGCA